RNAcentral lists this transfer RNA (108 nucleotides) under Plectosphaerella plurivora. RNAcentral describes it as "Plectosporium sp. AC-2010b tRNA". It matches the Rfam family "tRNA". From Rfam's summary of the family: Transfer RNA (tRNA) molecules are approximately 80 nucleotides in length. Their secondary structure includes four short double-helical elements and three loops (D, anti-codon, and T loops). Lineage: Eukaryota; Fungi; Ascomycota; Sordariomycetes; Glomerellales; Plectosphaerellaceae. The record is from Rfam by way of RNAcentral.
GGCGAGAUGGCCGAGUGGUCUAAGGCGCUAGUUUCAGGAGUUGUUCUUUCGAGAACAUCGCCAGCUUACUAGUCUUCACAGGCGUGGGUUCGAAUCCCACUCUCGUCA